UGGGAAUAUUGCACAAUGGGCGCAAGCCUGAUGCAGCCAUGCCGCGUGUGUGAAGAAGGCCUUCGGGUUGUAAAGCACUUUCAGCGAGGAGGAAGGUGGUGGACUUAAUACGUUCAUCAAUUGACGUUACUCGCAGAAGAAGCACCGGCUAACUCCGUGCCAGCAGCCGCGGUAAUACGGAGGGUGCAAGCGUUAAUCGGAAUUACUGGGCGUAAAGCGCACGCAGGCGGUUUGUUAAGUCAGAUGUGAAAUCCCCGGGCUCAACCUGGGAACUGCAUUUGAAACUGGCAAGCUAGAGUCUCGUAGAGGGGGGUAGAAUUCCAGGUGUAGCGGUGAAAUGCGUAGAGAUCUGGAGGAAUACCGGUGGCGAAGGCGGCCCCCUGGACGAAGACUGACGCUCAGGUGCGAAAGCGUGGGGAGCAAAACAGGAUUAGAUACCCUGGUAGUCCACGCUGUAAAACGAUGUCGAUUUUGGA
This 476-nucleotide ribosomal RNA is filed under the name uncultured bacterium. RNAcentral's name for it is "partial 16S ribosomal RNA". It matches the Rfam family "Bacterial small subunit ribosomal RNA", at positions 356 to 822 of the family's 1533-position model. The record is from RNAcentral.